GAUCUUGUUCCGGACUCUGCAGUACUUCACCUCCUCCACCUUCACGUAGGACAGACACUCUUCGCAGCACUGGUCGCCUUGACAGCUUCCCGGCCGAGAGCACCGCUUCUUGCACACCACUGUGGAAUCCUGGGUCGGUACCUUGCAGGUGCAGGUGGUGCAGUUGUUGUGUAUGAAGCAAGUGCCGUUCUCAUAAACUUCACUGUGGAACAGACAGCUUCCCAACGAGAGGUCGAACACUUUCCUCUGACCUGAAGGAGGAGGAGAGAGUCAAACAUCGACACGGCUUCUACACCUGCAGAGGGUUUUACAUCAACCUUCACACAGGUGACGGCUCAGAAAGGAGACCACUGGUAUUUACCGAGACAUCUGGGGCAGCACUGUCCAGGAGGGGUGUGGCUGAGGUGGGCGGGGCAUGACAGGACAGGACACACCUCCCUCAUGCAGAGAGUCCGGCCUCCCUGAAACAACAACAACAUGCAAAUAAAAUGCCUGCAGGUCGACCGACGAGGUGAGAGCACGUUAAUGCUGUAAUGUGUUUAUGGACGUACCUGUAGAGUUGUUUGUGUAACAGACGACCCUCGAAGAUGCAGCCUGCAGGAAGACGAACGUCACUCAUUUUAAGUAUAAAUCUAAAUAAUCUCAACAUAUAAUCUGUUUGUGUUUUGUUCCAAACAUGCGUCAGUGAUCAGAAAAAAAUCAUUUUCAAUAUGGCUGAUGCACUAAAUCUGGUUUAGAGUCUCUAAAGUUUGGAGGCAGUGACUGUAACAUGUUUCAUGUGUUUUUGUCUGUUCCUCUGAAAGUAUCCAGUUUGAUUAAUGUCUCACUGGUUAUUAAAAAAACA
Acanthopagrus latus (yellowfin seabream) is the source of this 844-nucleotide long non-coding RNA. RefSeq lists it as uncharacterized. The transcript has 4 exons. The record is from RefSeq and is a predicted model, not a curated record. NCBI's taxonomy places the organism in Eukaryota, Metazoa, Chordata, Actinopteri, Spariformes, Sparidae.